CUUUGAACAGUUACAACAUGUUAGUGCAACUUACCAAAUGUAGAGAAUGCAAGCCAACCGCUGAAUACUGGACUCUCAUUCAAACGCUGGAGCGGAGGGAGUUGCCAUGGAAACGGGGCAACAACACCAACUGCAAACCGUAAAUCUCCAUUUCUCGCUGCUGUUUUCACUGCUUUCAGAAAACUUCGAAAGAGUCCGUUAUCAUCGCAAGUGUUUUUUUUUUUUUAGGUGAGGAAUGAGAAUAUAAUCUCUCUACAACAGAAGAGAAGCUCCAAAAUGUCAAAGUAUCUGAAGGGAGCUGCUGACAGAAAUGUAGGAAACACAGGAUCCUAUGUAUCCAGCCUCAACCAUUCAUCAAAAGGACUGUGAAAGCGGGAAUUCUUUGAACAACCAGUGGCAGUUUCCACAGGAUGAAAAAGGGCAUAUUAGUGGAUGAUGGGGGUACUGACAUUAACCUGCUGUAUUUACUGUAUUACACAUUUUUGUCAGUUUUUCAUUUCAAGUACUGGAUGGCAUGCUGUCCUAACACUAACUAGUCAGAGCUCAGGUACCACCCAAAAUGCUGCCAUUACAAGUCAGAAAAAGAGAAAUAUAUAUAGUCAGGUUAUCAUCGACUCAGACUUGACAGUGAUGAUUGAUCAUGAAACCGAUGAUUGCAGUGACUUUAAAAAAUGAUGAAUUAUUGCUGUCAAGUCUGAGUACUCUAGUACUUGUGCACAUCCCUAUUUAACACAUAUACAGAGUAUUGAGGUAUGAUGUAUAUACUGCAUUGAUGUAUAAAUUCAAUAAACAUUUUAAUCAUACAUCUUGUCAAGUUAUGUUACUUCUGGAUUUUUUUUUUUUUUUUUUUUAUGAACAAACCUAUUAAAGAAAAUUUAUAGUAUGAU
This is a long non-coding RNA of Cyprinus carpio (common carp), 887 nucleotides long. RefSeq lists it as uncharacterized. The transcript is spliced from 4 exons. NCBI's taxonomy places the organism in Eukaryota, Metazoa, Chordata, Actinopteri, Cypriniformes, Cyprinidae. The record is from RefSeq and is a predicted model, not a curated record.